AAGCCGGCUAGUACGGUGAAACCGCGAAAGGCUCAUUAAAUCAGUUAUGGUUCCUUAGAUCUUACCCACGAUACUUGGAUAUCUGUGGUAAUUCUAGAGCUAAUACAUGCCGACAGAGUUCCGAGCGGUCGCGCGAGUUUACUCGUCGCGAUACGCGAGGGGCGUUUUUAUUAGAUCAAAACCGGCCAGGUGACGUUCGCGUCAUCAGCGGCUCGCGUAUAGAUUUGGCGAUUCUGAAUAACUUUGAGCUGAUCGCACGGUCUUCGUACCGGCGACGUAUCUUUCAAAUGUCUGCCUUAUCAACUGUCGACGGUAGGUUCGACGCCUACCGUGGUGGUAACGGGUAACGGGGAAUCAGGGUUCGAUUCCGGAGAGGGAGCCUGAGAAACGGCUACCACAUCCAAGGAAGGCAGCAGGCGCGCAAAUUACCCACUCCCGGCACGGGGAGGUAGUGACGAAAAAUAACGAUACGGGACUCUUAUGAGGCCCCGUAAUCGGAAUGAGUACACUUUAAAACCUUGGUCACACGAGGAUC
This 535-nucleotide ribosomal RNA is filed under the name Matsucoccus alabamae. RNAcentral describes it as "SSU rRNA". It matches the Rfam family "Eukaryotic small subunit ribosomal RNA", at positions 67 to 545 of the family's 1831-position model. Lineage: Eukaryota; Metazoa; Arthropoda; Insecta; Hemiptera; Margarodidae. The record is from RNAcentral.